Molecule: ribosomal RNA, 655 nt
Filed under: uncultured bacterium
Lineage: Bacteria
Description: bacterial SSU rRNA
Rfam family: Bacterial small subunit ribosomal RNA
Source: RNAcentral
AGAGUUUGAUCCUGGCUCAGGACGAACGCUGGCGGCGUGCUUAACACAUGCAAGUCGAACGAUGAAGCCCUUCGGGGUGGAUUAGUGGCGAACGGGUGAGUAACACGUGGGCAAUCUGCCCUUCACUCUGGGACAAGCCCUGGAAACGGGGUCUAAUACCGGAUAACACUCUGUCCCGCAUGGGACGGGGUUAAAAGCUCCGGCGGUGAAGGAUGAGCCCGCGGCCUAUCAGCUUGUUGGUGGGGUAAUGGCCUACCAAGGCGACGACGGGUAGCCGGCCUGAGAGGGCGACCGGCCACACUGGGACUGAGACACGGCCCAGACUCCUACGGGAGGCAGCAGUGGGGAAUAUUGCACAAUGGGCGAAAGCCUGAUGCAGCGACGCCGCGUGAGGGAUGACGGCCUUCGGGUUGUAAACCUCUUUCAGCAGGGAAGAAGCGAAAGUGACGGUACCUGCAGAAGAAGCGCCGGCUAACUACGUGCCAGCAGCCGCGGUAAUACGUAGGGCGCAAGCGUUGUCCGGAAUUAUUGGGCGUAAAGAGCUCGUAGGCGGCUUGUUGCGUCGGUUGUGAAAGCCCGGGGCUUAACCCCGGGUCUGCAGUCGAUACGGGCAGGCUAGAGUGUGGUAGGGGAGAUCGGAAUUCCUGGUGUAGCG